This 484-nucleotide ribosomal RNA is filed under the name uncultured bacterium. Its description in RNAcentral is "partial 16S ribosomal RNA". It matches the Rfam family "Bacterial small subunit ribosomal RNA", at positions 30 to 507 of the family's 1533-position model. The record is from RNAcentral.
AGUGAACGCUGGCGGCAGGCCUAACACAUGCAAGUCGAGCGGCAGCGGGUCCUUCGGGAUGCCGGCGAGCGGCGGACGGGCGAGGAAUACAUCGGAAUCCGCCCUGUCGUGGGGGAUAACCUAGGGAAACUUAGGCUAAUACCGCAUACGACCUACGGGUGAAAGCGGGGGAUCGCAAGACCUCGCGCGACAGGAUGAGCCGAUGUCCGAUUAGCAAGUUGGCGGGGUAAAGGCCCACCAAGGCGACGAUCGGUAGCUGGUCUGAGAGGAUGAUCAGCCACACUGGAACUGAGACACGGCCCAGACUCCUACGGGAGGCAGCAGUGGGGAAUAUUGGACAAUGGGCGCAAGCCUGAUCCAGCCAUGCCGCGUGGGUGAAGAAGGCCUUCGGGUUGUAAAGCCCUUUUGUCCGGGAAGAAAUCGUCUGGGCUAAUACCCCGGGCGGAUGACGGUACCGGAAGAAUAAGCACCGGCUAACUUCGUG